AACGCUGGCGGCGUGCUUAACACAUGCAAGUCGAACGCGAAAGGGACUUCGGUCCUGAGUAAAGUGGCGGCACGGGUGAGUAACGCGUAGAUAACCUGUCUUCAUGUCUGGAAUAAUACGCCGAAAGGGGUACUAAUACCGGAUAUUCUUGCUUUUCAUAAGUUAUGCAAGCAAAGGUGGCCUCUGCAUAUGCUACUGCAUGAAGAGGGGUCUGCGUACCAUUAGCUAGUAGGUGGGGUAAUGGCCUACCUAGGCGACGAUGGUUAGCGGGUCUGAGAGGAUGAUCCGCCACACUGGCACUGGAACACGGGCCAGACUCCUACGGGAGGCAGCAGUGAGGAAUAUUGCGCAAUGGGGGAAACCCUGACGCAGCGACGCCGCGUGAGUGAGGAAGGCCUUCGGGUCGUAAAGCUCUGUCAAGAGGAAAGAAGUGUACAAUGGCUAAUACCUGUUGUAUUUGACGGUACCUCUAAAGGAAGCACCGGCUAACUCCGUGCCAGCCGCCGC
Molecule: ribosomal RNA, 507 nt
Filed under: uncultured bacterium
Lineage: Bacteria
Description: bacterial SSU rRNA
Rfam family: Bacterial small subunit ribosomal RNA
Source: RNAcentral